RNA transcript from Cucumis melo (muskmelon), 1367 nucleotides. It is a transcript of the gene named malate dehydrogenase, chloroplastic-like, with no coding region annotated. The record is from RefSeq and is a predicted model, not a curated record. NCBI's taxonomy places the organism in Eukaryota, Viridiplantae, Streptophyta, Magnoliopsida, Cucurbitales, Cucurbitaceae. The transcript has 5 exons.
CACUAGAAGAAAUCUGGUCUUUAAUGUCGGGUGGAAAAAAUGAAAAAUAAGCUUUAAUGUCGGUUUUCAAAAAGCGGAUGUUUAAUGUCGGUUUUAAACCGACAUUAAAGCUUUAUCUUUAAUGUCGGUUUAAAACCGACAUUAAACAUCAUGUUUUUUAGAACCGACAUUAAAGGUUUUUUUUUAUUUUAUUUUUUAUUUUUUUAAUUUUGUAAAAAGUUGAAUUUUUCUCUCUCCUACUUUACUCUUUUCUCCUUUCUUCUCUACCAAACCCUAAACUUUACUCUUUUCUCCUUUCUUCUCUACCAAACCCUACGAAAGAAGGUUUUCUCUCAACAUUUCUUCCCUUUCUUCCUUUCUCAAUCUCAUCACUUUCUAAUCUCCCCUUGGCUUCCAGUCAAAACCUUCAUAUUCCCCACCUUCACCAUCGCCGCCGUGAAAUCCGCCUUCCAGAGGCUCCGACUACUCCGAUAACGAUAUGAAAAUUAGGGAUGAUAAGGAAAUUGAGGCCACCGUUGUUGAUGGAAACGGUACUGAAACAGGCCAUAUAAUUGUAACAACCAUUGGUGGAAAGAAUGGCCAACCAAAGCAGGAAACAAUAUAAAGCUUCGCUGUUCAAAAAAGAGAGUACUACGUCCAAGGCUUUCAGGCGGAGAUUUCUACGACUCACUCGCAAUACCCUUUUGAGCCCAUAAGUCUUUGAUUGUUCACUUUCCGCUUCCAUUUCAAGCUACAAUUUUUCUGGUUUUCAAGAGUCAGAAAUGGCAGCAACAUCAGCAACUAGUUUGUCAAUUGGAGCAACUGCAUCACUUAAUACUAAGCUCAACUUGUUUUCCCAGUCAAAGUCUACUAGCCUAAGAAUCAAUUCACAAGAGAAGCUUCAGAGCUUCUGUGGCCUCAAGGCAGAUUCAUCCCUUCGUUGUGACUCAGAGUCGUCUUUCCUAGGGAAACAGAGCAGCGCUGCCCUAUGGCGUCAUCUUGCUCCUUCAGUACAAAGAGCGAACCUGAAUUUAUGCAAAAAUCUUCAACCUCAAGCCUCUUACAAAGUUGCUGUUCUUGGAGCUGCUGGAGGAAUAGGUCAUUUUCUACUAGAGGAGGAUGAUAAGUUUCUAGAUAAGGUUUGAGCUACAGUUCAGGAAGAGGAAUGUCAAGCCCUUGCUGCAUUUGGUGCCUGUUUCCAAUAUUAAUAAUUGUUUGAAGAAGCAUUUUCGAGACCUUUAAAAUGUCGUGAUUUUUGAAUUUAUAUAAUUAUGUUUGGUUGCAGUUAAUUUUACAAGCGUGUUUUCAUUGUUGGUGGAAUCAGACUUGAAUAAUAUGAGAUUUAUGUGCUUUAAGAUAUGAAUGGGAUUUAUUGUUGCUUUAAGAUA